AGUGAACGCUGGCGGUAGGCCUAACACAUGCAAGUCGAACGGCAGCACAGUAAGAGCUUGCUCUUACGGGUGGCGAGUGGCGGUCGGGUGAGGAAUACAUCGGAAUCUACUUUUUCGUGGGGGAUAACGUAGGGAAACUUACGCUAAUACCGCAUACGACCUACGGAUGAAAGCAGGGGAUCUUCGGACCUUGCGCGAUUGAAUGAGCCGAUGUCGGAUUAGCUAGUUGGCGGGGUAAAGGCCCACCAAGGCGACGAUCCGUAGCUGGUCUGAGAGGAUGAUCAGCCACACUGGAACUGAGACACGGUCCAGACUCCUACGGGAGGCAGCAGUGGGGAAUAUUGGACAAUGGGCGCAAGCCUGAUCCAGCCAUACCGCGUGGGUGAAGAAGGCCUUCGGGUUGUAAAGCCCUUUUGUUGGGAAAGAAAAGCAGCAGGUUAAUACCCCGCUGUUCUGACGGUACCCAAAGAAUAAGCACCGGCUAACUUCGUG
Molecule: ribosomal RNA, 492 nt
Filed under: uncultured bacterium
Lineage: Bacteria
Description: partial 16S ribosomal RNA
Rfam family: Bacterial small subunit ribosomal RNA
Source: RNAcentral